Molecule: long non-coding RNA, 1689 nt
Organism: Bombus terrestris (buff-tailed bumblebee)
Lineage: Eukaryota; Metazoa; Arthropoda; Insecta; Hymenoptera; Apidae
Exons: 4
Source: RefSeq, a predicted model, not a curated record
AUAAUUUUUUUUUUUUUUUUUUUGAUUUAUGUUAUCUUAAGUUUAAUCGGAAGGGGAAAAUUGAAAUGAUAUGAUUGUUUAUGAAAUAUUAAUCGAGAUGUCCGAUUAAUAUGGUAGUUGCUGCCACCAGAAAUAGUCUAAGGACUAUUUCAAAGAAUUUCCUUUUAUUAUUAUUAUUUCUUAAAGUUGGGAGGGUUAGUGUAUGAUGGGUAUUGUUUGUCUAUCGUGUCUUUUGGAUUCCCAGUCUGGAAGUGCCUCUAUAAGCACUUUCUUGCCUGUAGGAAAACAAACCUUGUACCCUGUCUGUCGUGUCUUUUGAACUAGGUGAGAGUCUAUUAUCUACUAACUGGUGUUUAAUGGGUAGCGUUGACUUACGUUUGAUGCAACUGGCAAACGAAUUCCACCUUUCGGCUAACCUGCUAUGCGCAGGAAUACUGGCACGGGAGAGGAUUAAAGUUAUUAGGGAUAGACAAUUGGCAACGUAUUUAUUUCGUCUGACAGAGUUAUGUUGGUUUAACUAUAUUUUAAUUUAUUCGUUGUUAGUUGAUUGAAGGUAUUACAAUAUCAGCAAUAAGUAUCGUCGGAUGCAAAUGUAGAUAUAUUAUACAGCGAUGUACAAUAAAUAAAUAUUCUAGCUUCUAACUGGAUAAAUUUUACAAAUGUUUGGUAGGAUAAUAUUUAUUCGUACCAAUAAGAUUAAUAACAAACGCUAUGGUGUGAUGUGGGCGAUGGCGAACGAGAUCGAAAGGAAUGCGCCACGCAGUGUUCGGAAAUUGGUGAAUUUGAGGGCGAAAAACUAGGUGGUGAACCUUCGCGAUUCGACUCUAAUUCUUCUCGAUGCCUCCUCUCUUCCUUUUUUAUUUCUGCAGCAAUUAAUCGUUUGUACCAACGUUCGGCUCGCUUUUUGUUGAGGUGACUUUUAUCUUUUCUAUUCUUUCUUGAUUUCGUCAUGGAAUUAUAAUUCGUUCUUAGCAACAAGUAAAGUCGUAAAUGAGUAAAUGAUUAUUUUAUUUGGUGACUGAGUUCACUGUAGACAAUCAGUGUGGCUUCGUAGGCCUCACCCAAGGAUGAGCAAUCUGCUAACGGUGGGAAGAGGAAAACGAAAACCUUAGAUGUUUUCUGUGACGAAAACACCGUAAUCACUGGUUGAUACAGCGAACAAUUGUAAACAAAAUAGAUCGAAAGCUGAUUGAGUUUAUUCCAAACUAUUCGUUAAAUGUUGAGCAAGAACGUUUAUCUCAAUUUUGUAAUUAUAUUCUCUGUAAACAAUCCGUGUGGCUUCGUAGGCCUCGCCCAAGGAUGAGCAAUCUGCUAACGGUGGGAAGAGGAAAACGAAAACCAUAGAUGUUUCCAAUGAUUAAAAACACCGUGAUCAUUGGUCGAUACAGAGAAUAAUUGUCGUGAAUUCAAAAUGUUCGAAUGAAAUUUUAUGUGGUCGUAUUUUGCUGAUGCUGCGUCUGCGUUCUUUCCAUGGCCUUCGUUACUGAUACCAGUGGAAUGUGCCGGUUGCGUGGCUGCUUGGCCUUGCUGAGGUUGCAUUUUGUGUGUCCGGUGAUCGCCCUGCUGAUGUCGGUGAAUCGUACGAGGUUAUAUUGAAUCAUGGAUACUGACAUGUCUGGAGCUGUAGAGUGUAAGAAAAAGAAAAGGAAUAGAGGGAAGCGCAGGCCGUUCGUACCUCCUGUGGUCGAA